CUGGUCCAAAUCAUCAUCAAAAACUUCCAGGGCUGUCCUUGUGUUGCCGUCCGGCCACAAGUGAGGAUCGCCAUUAGUUUCAGUGGUCCCUACAUGGAGGAAGGCCGGGUCGUGUACAGUCGGUCGCAGUAAAGGAGGAAUAGGAUUCUUGCUAUCUCCUUCCAAGUAAUGACGGGUUUUCCGUCAAGACUAGAUGUAGGGUGACAGCUCACCCCUGAGAAAUUGAGAAGUAUGGUAUUGUAGUAGUAAACCCCAGUCUUAUAGAUAGAAGCUUAGUUAGUGGGUAAUCGAACAUCUUCACUUUUUGUAUUAGACCUUGGGAUGUUAAACUAGUCUAUAAGUAAUGUGAUGUUGUAGGUGUGGCUUGUGAAAAAUAAUAUCCUACGUUUUUAUCCCA
Molecule: long non-coding RNA, 397 nt
Organism: Eucalyptus grandis
Lineage: Eukaryota; Viridiplantae; Streptophyta; Magnoliopsida; Myrtales; Myrtaceae
Exons: 2
Source: RefSeq, a predicted model, not a curated record